RNAcentral lists this non-coding RNA (25 nucleotides) under Hippoglossus hippoglossus (Atlantic halibut). Its record names the gene hhi-miR-182. Lineage: Eukaryota; Metazoa; Chordata; Actinopteri; Pleuronectiformes; Pleuronectidae. The record is from miRBase by way of RNAcentral. RNAcentral also lists the same sequence under 9 other names.
UUUGGCAAUGGUAGAACUCACACUG